RNAcentral lists this ribosomal RNA (468 nucleotides) under uncultured bacterium. Its description in RNAcentral is "partial 16S ribosomal RNA". It matches the Rfam family "Bacterial small subunit ribosomal RNA", at positions 28 to 507 of the family's 1533-position model. The record is from RNAcentral.
GACGAACGCUGGCGGCGUGCUUAACACAUGCAAGUCGAACGGAAAGGCCCUGCUUUUGUGGGGUGCUCGAGUGGCGAACGGGUGAGUAACACGUGAGUAACCGGCCCUUGACUUUGGGAUAACUUCAGGAAACUGGGGCUAAUAUCGGAUAGGAGCUCCUGCUGCAGGGUGGGGGGUGGAAAGUUUUGGCGGUUGGGGAUGGACUCGCCGCUUAUCAGCUUGUUGGUGGGGUAGUGGCUUACCAAGGCUUUGACGGGUAGCCGGCCUGUGAGGGUGACCGGCCACAUUGGGACUGAGAUACGGCCCAGACUCCUACGGGAGGCAGCAGUGGGGAAUAUUGCACAAUGGGCGGAAGCCUGAUGCAGCAACGCCGCGUGCGGGAUGACGGCCUUCGGGUUGUAAACCGCUUUCGCCUGUGACGAAGCGUGAGUGACGGUAAUGGGUAAAGAAGCACCGGCUAACUACGUG